Molecule: ribosomal RNA, 900 nt
Filed under: uncultured Ascodesmis
Lineage: Eukaryota; Fungi; Ascomycota; Pezizomycetes; Pezizales; Ascodesmidaceae
Description: eukaryotic LSU rRNA
Rfam family: Eukaryotic large subunit ribosomal RNA (bases 1-599)
Source: RNAcentral
GCGCAGGAAAAGAAACCAACAGGGAUUGCCUUAGUAACUGCGAGUGAGGCGGCAAAAGCUCAAAUUUGAAAUCUGGCGUCUUCGGCGUCCGAGUUGUAAUUUGAGAGAUUUCUUCGGGGUGAACACCGGUCCAUGUUCCUUGGAACAGGACGUCACAGAGGGUGAGAAUCCCGUGUCUGACCGGUUGCUUCAUUCCAUGUGAAGAGUCUUCGACGAGUCGAGUUGUUUGGGAAUGCAGCUCAAAAUGGGUGGUAAAUUUCAUCUAAAGCUAAAUAUUGGCGAGAGACCGAUAGCGCACAAGUAGAGUGAUCGAAAGAUGAAAAGCACUUUGAAAAGAGAGUUAAAAAGUACGUGAAAUUGUUGAAAGGGAAGCGCUUGAGACCAGACUCAAUUUGUGGUGAACAUCAGUCCUUCUGGGCUGUGCACUUGCCACUUUUUGGGCCAGCAUCGGUUCUGACCGUGUGAUAAAGGUCCUGGGAAUGUAGCUCCUCUCGGGGAGUGUUAUAGCCCAGGGCGUAAUGACAUGAGUUGGGACCGAGGACCGCGCUUCUGCUAGGAUGCUGGCAUAAUGGUCUUCAGCGACCCGACUUGAGUCACACACCAGGGAAUCUAACAUAUAUGCAAGUGUACGCGCUGGAAAACAAAUAGCUUUGGAAUGUAAGUGUAUCGGACGUGGCGGGCGGCAUCCCCCUUGGGGGGAGCCCACUGGAUGCUGUAUGUUUGACGGCACCAGAAAUCGAAUAGGGAAAUCCCCGGGACCCAGAGAGGCUAUGAAAUGCGUGGGCCAGGGGGCCCAUACGUUUUUUACCCAGGGUGGGAGGACUGGGAAACCCCCCUCAACAGGAGGAAUUAUAAUGGUGAUAUUAAAAUGUAUGUGAUGAGUAUUGAUGCGCAGUAGCA